UCCGGAGGGUGCGAUCGUUAUCCGGAAUCACUGGGUUUAAAGGGUGCGUAGGCGGCGAGGUAAGUCAGUUGUGAAAUACCCCGGCUCAACCGGCGGGAGUGCGAUUGAUACUGCUUUGCUUGAAACAGGUUGAGGUAAGCGGAAUGUGGCAUGUAGCGGUGAAAUGCAUAGAUAUGCCAUAGAACACCGAUUGCGAAGGCAGCUUGCUGGGCCUGAUUUGACGCUGAGGCACGAAAGCGUGGGGAGAAAACAGG
Molecule: ribosomal RNA, 254 nt
Filed under: uncultured bacterium
Lineage: Bacteria
Description: partial 16S ribosomal RNA
Rfam family: Bacterial small subunit ribosomal RNA
Source: RNAcentral